Camellia sinensis is the source of this 2352-nucleotide non-coding RNA. The record is from RefSeq and is a predicted model, not a curated record. NCBI's taxonomy places the organism in Eukaryota, Viridiplantae, Streptophyta, Magnoliopsida, Ericales, Theaceae.
CAAAUGACACAACGAAUUUUUUACUUAGAUACUUAUUAUAGGUUUUUGAAUUGUGAAGGGAUGAUACAGAAGAUGAGAAUGCUAUGUUCUAUUGGGGGGGAGAUAUUGUGUCUGAUCACAGAAGUGUGUCUUACAACGGCCAUGUGAAGAAGUUCUGUAAGCUCCACCGCCACCACCAUCUGCACCGACGAGGUAGGUGAGCUCUCUCUCUCAACCCUCUCUAAACGCUUAUCAUUCGCAGAGAUUCAAAUCGGUUUCGAUUUCGAAGCUCCACUGCCACCACCAUCUGCACCAUCGUCUACUAAGGUAAUUCCUAAAUGUCAUUUUCAAUAUUCUGAACAAGAAGGUUUAUAAUUAUUUUCCAUAUCCAUAUUAUACAUCUCCUAGUUGGUGUGGUCUAUUGUCUUGUCAGUUGGGCUGUUGGUAUGCCAAAACAAGCACCAAUCAACAAAGAACUCUCGACAGUCCUCACUCCAGUAGCAUUCUGUCACGCCCUUGGACAUGCCAUGUCCAAUGUAUCAUUUGCCGCCGUAGCUGUGUCUUUUACACAUACCAUUAAAGAUGGGUUAUAGAUGUUCUGGAGUUGGGUCCUUUUGAUGGCGAGCAACCUAUUUACAUAAGAUCGAUCAAUCAUUAAUUUAGGCUGCAAGUUAUUGUGCUUAUUACCUCCUUCUGUGGCUGUAAUAGGAUUGGGUGUAUAGUUACUUUCUGUUGGACAAGGUGAAUUCCAUGGUGAAGCGACGCAUACUCUGAAGUUUGUUGUGAACCAGUCAGACUACACUGUGCAGACACUAAGAAAUGUCACAGAGUAUCUAUUACUUGCAAAAGCCAUUAAUAUGGUCCAGGUUUUUCUUCCUUCAAAUGACAAAGAUAAAAUUGGCAAGUUGAAUGCAGAUUUAAAUACUGCAGCAGGUUUUUGAUUGCAUAUACAUUAGUAUAUAUACAUCUUUAAAUUACAUAAACAUUCACCCAUAAAUUUAGAGUGCAAAUUUCAGUUUGCCCCCAUGGUUCAACUCAAGCUUCAUGAACUACACAGCAGGUUUUUGAUUGCAUAUUCAUUAGUAUAUAUCUAUAUGUCUUUUCUCAAUUAUUUUGGUGGAUUUUUGAUCAAUUGAGUGGUUGGGUCAGUGGGACAUUGGUUAAAGUUUGGAUUUGUGAUAAAUUUUGCCGGAUAAAGUGAAGGCUUCUCAUGAUGUCUACGUUUCAUAUUUUGGAUUUUUUUCAACAUACUUUUGUAACAAUUAUUUAAACACAAAAUUAUAUAAUGAGGUGCAUCAUUUGUAUAUUCGUUAUGUUAGUCAUAUAAGGUGCAUCAUUUUUCGUGUUUCUGACUAGUAAUGUGUGCUUUAGGUCAAGGAUCAUCUUUGAUUAUAUGUGUGGGAAUAUUGACUGGCUACACAGAUACAUUAUAUAAGAUUUUAUCUCAGCUCACAGGUAGAUGCUUAAAUAAGAAAUUAUUCUAGUGUCUGUAUUCUAUCUAUCUAGGUAAUUAUUCUACUGUCCUUUUCUUUUCUUCUCUGUUUUGGGUUUGUCUGCUGUGUAGAAUUAGUGAACUCAAUUAGGAUGAAUUGAUAGAGACUAACUAGUUACUUCAUGGAUGCCUAUUGUACUUUCAGUUGUGCCUGAGUCCCUUAUUGUUAUCAUGGCAUCCACCAGGCAGUCUUCCUACUACAUCACGUAGCGGUAGUACAUCACAUGGCUUAGUUUCAGAUGGCCUACUAAGGACCAUGGAAGAGUAUGUCAAUACAAAGGGGUCAUUCUCAAAACCCACAAGGGAUACUAGAAAAUCACCUAAUCAGUUCCAGUUCUCUAAGGUAAAGAAGAUGCAUAAGAGUGCAUGAAGUCAACUUCAGAAGAUUGUAAAGGAGCAAGAAAAGAUAACAACUGAGUUAGAAGGUCAGAGCAAAUCACUGCAGGAACUUGAGAAAGAAUUGAAGAAAAAGGAGAUCCAAAAUGAAAAGAAGAGACUCUAGCUCCAAUUUGAGAAUAUUAUGGUACUGUAAUUGUACUAGUCUUUCUCGAAGAUUGAAUGGGUUUUGAUUCUAGGCUGGCUUUUCUUUUAGUUGGAUCAGUUUAGUGCUUUAGUUGCUGUAGAAAGGCUUUUGAAUAUUUUACUACUGGAAGGGGUCUGUAUCUGUUUCAUUGUAUGCUUCAGAGUAAUCCUGUACUGGUAGAAGUCAAGAUCAGUUUGCUGUUCUGUUAGGUUGUAGAUGUCGUUGAAAGGGGUAUGCCCUUUCUUUUGUUCUCAUUCUCUUCAAUGCCCUUAGAUGUUCUGAGCUGCACGUGCUACAUUUUGUAUCUUCUCUUCAAUGAAUUAUUUAAAUUUUGAGUGAGUGUUAUUUUUCAGUUUUA